This 468-nucleotide ribosomal RNA is filed under the name uncultured bacterium. RNAcentral describes it as "partial 16S ribosomal RNA". It matches the Rfam family "Bacterial small subunit ribosomal RNA", at positions 28 to 507 of the family's 1533-position model. The record is from RNAcentral.
GACGAACGCUGGCGGCGUGCUUAACACAUGCAAGUCGAACGGAAAGGCCCUGCUUUUGUGGGGUGCUCGAGUGGCGAACGGGUGAGUAACACGUGAGUAACCUGCCCUUGACUUUGGGAUAACUUCAGGAAACUGGGGCUAAUACCGGAUAGGAGCUCCUGCUGCAUGGUGGGGGUUGGAAAGUUUCGGCGGUUGGGGAUGGACUCGCGGCUUAUCAGCUUGUUGGCGGGGUAGUGGCUUACCAAGGCUUUGACGGGUAGCCGGCCUGAGAGGGUGACCGGCCACAUUGGGACUGAGAUACGGCCCAGACUCCUAUGGGAGGCAGCAGUGGGGAAUAUUGCACAAUGGGCGGAAGCCUGAUGCAGCAACGCCGCGUGCGGGAUGACGGCCUUCGGGUUGUAAACCGCUUUCGCCUGUGACGAAGCGUGAGUGACGGUAAUGGGUAAAGAAGCACCGGCUAACUACGUG